This 453-nucleotide ribosomal RNA is filed under the name uncultured bacterium. RNAcentral describes it as "bacterial SSU rRNA". It matches the Rfam family "Bacterial small subunit ribosomal RNA", at positions 340 to 786 of the family's 1533-position model. The record is from RNAcentral.
UACGGGAGGCAGCAGUGGGGAAUAUUGCACAAUGGGCGCAAGCCUGAUGCAGCCAUGCCGCGUGUAUGAAGAAGGCCUUCGGGUUGUAAAGUACUUUCAGUCGUGAGGAAGGUGUUAAGGUUAAUAACCUUAGCAAUUGACGUUAGCGACAGAAGAAGCACCGGCUAACUCCGUGCCAGCAGCCGCGGUAAUACGGAGGGUGCGGGCGUUAAUCGGAAUUACUGGGCGUAAAGGGCACGCAGGCGGUUAAUUAAGUUGGAUGUGAAAUCCCCGGGCUUAACCUGGGAAUGGCAUUCAAGACUGGUUAGCUAGAGUCUUGUAGAGGGGGUAGAAUUCCAUGUGUAGCGGUGAAAUGCGUAGAGAUGUGGAGGAAUACCGGUGGCGAAGGCGGCCCCUGGACAAAGACUGACGCUCAUGUGCGAAAGCGUGGGGAGCAAACAGGGAUUAGAUACC